UACGUAGGGUGCGAGCGUUAAUCGGAAUUACUGGGCGUAAAGGGUGCGCAGGCGGUCUUGCAAGUCAGAUGUGAAAGCCCCGGGCUCAACCUGGGAAUGGCAUCCGAUACUGGGGAGCUAGAGUUUGGGAGAGGGUGGUGGAAUUCCCGGUGUAGCGGUGAAAUGCGUAGAGAUCGGGAGGAACAUCAGUGGCGAAGGCGGCCACCUGGCCUAAAACUGACGCUGAGGCACGAAAGCGUGGGGAGCAAAC
This 250-nucleotide ribosomal RNA is filed under the name uncultured bacterium. RNAcentral describes it as "partial 16S ribosomal RNA". It matches the Rfam family "Bacterial small subunit ribosomal RNA", at positions 524 to 773 of the family's 1533-position model. The record is from RNAcentral.